AGAGUUUGAUCCUGGCUCAGAUUGAACGCUGGCGGCAUGCUUUACACAUGCAAGUCGAACGGUAACAGGCCGCAAGGUGCUGACGAGUGGCGAACGGGUGAGUAAUGCAUCGGAACGUGCCCAGUCGUGGGGGAUAACGCAGCGAAAGCUGCGCUAAUACCGCAUACGAUCUAUGGAUGAAAGCGGGGGACCGUAAGGCCUCGCGCGAUUGGAGCGGCCGAUGUCAGAUUAGGUAGUUGGUGGGGUAAAGGCUCACCAAGCCAACGAUCUGUAGCUGGUCUGAGAGGACGACCAGCCACACUGGGACUGAGACACGGCCCAGACUCCUACGGGAGGCAGCAGUGGGGAAUUUUGGACAAUGGGCGCAAGCCUGAUCCAGCAAUGCCGCGUGCAGGAAGAAGGCCUUCGGGUUGUAAACUGCUUUUGUACGGAACGAAAAGGCUCUGGUUAAUACCUGGGGCACAUGACGGUACCGUAAGAAUAAGCACCGGCUAACUACGUG
This 502-nucleotide ribosomal RNA is filed under the name uncultured bacterium. Its description in RNAcentral is "bacterial SSU rRNA". It matches the Rfam family "Bacterial small subunit ribosomal RNA", at positions 8 to 507 of the family's 1533-position model. The record is from RNAcentral.